Long non-coding RNA from Juglans microcarpa x Juglans regia, 1215 nucleotides. RefSeq lists it as uncharacterized. The transcript is spliced from 6 exons. Lineage: Eukaryota; Viridiplantae; Streptophyta; Magnoliopsida; Fagales; Juglandaceae. The record is from RefSeq and is a predicted model, not a curated record.
UUACGCUUGGAGUCAAAGCAGCGUCACCUGAAGACAGACUCACUGGAGACAUGACCACCGCACAUCUUUCGCUCCACUCUCCCUCCACUAUCUCCAAGAGUAAUUCUCAAUGCUCCACUCCCGGCGUACAAUAGCACCUCCGGCGCAGAAGAAUCAUCACGCCGCCGUUCAUAGUCUGCUCGAACAGAAGCCGAAGCCGAAGCCCAGACGACUACCAUGCCACUCUCAAAGCUCUCAACUCCAAAGGCCGCACCCCAAGGAAAUCUCUUCGCCAGGAUCCCCACAUGGCUGCUAUUUCGAGUGAAAGAUUUGCAAGCACAGACAGGUUGAAGAACUUAAGCAGUGUCAGGUAGGAAUUAACCAUUUGCAAUCUUCAAUGAAUGGCUCUAGAUGCCUACACAAAGAAUUAAUUAUUUACAAUCUUCAGAGCCAGGUUUUGUAGGAAGACUUUGUGAAAUGUCACAUUUGCUCCCAUAUGUUGUCAUUUCUGGGAAGUAUAAAGUUGUUGAAUCAUUCCAAAUCAAGAUAUGCAAAGGCAUGAUACCAGGGAAGGGCUCGCGGGGUGGAACCCACAUCUCAUAGAGAGGAGGAAUACCAGGGAUGAUAAGGGAUAAUUAACUCUACAGCUCACUGGAAUGGGAAAAGUAAUUUCGCAUUACUCCAGUUUUCUCAUAGCAUUAUUUAAGAGAGAACAGGAAGUAAGGCUGAAAUGUAUACAGCUUCCAUGAUUUUUUUUUUUUCAGAAGUUGUUCUUCUACUCCAGCUUAGUAUUCCCUUUUAUUUUCCUGUCUAGAAUUCAGGUAGGUGUUACAUUUAUUUUCAGGAGACAGCAGUGUGCUUGGUGGAAUUGUCCUUGCGGACAUCAGAGUGCCGACCAAUCAAUAUCUUUGUCAAUUUCUAUUCAGCCCGCAGGAACAAACAUCAACCUGACCAUCUGGCAUGGAACUUCUGACCACUGGUUGUUAGCAGUUGCAUCCCUUUCCUUGGCAGUAGUUACUAAAAGAUCUUAGCUAUUGUUUGGAAUACAUCUGAGUCAGGGAAGAGUAGAUUCUUGGUGAUAAUCAUCACCAAGCAUCAAUUCUACUUCUCAUCUUAUUUGUAAUUUAUGUGCAUUACAAAUAAUGUGCUGAUGUACUUAUAUAUACACUCAUCUUAUUAUUGUCGUUACUCUUUUUCUUUUAUUCCUAGAAGACCAAAACUUAUAAUUAUGUUAUA